AGUGGGAGGACUGAGGCCCAGCGGUGAACCUCUUACCUUCCUCCCUGAACAGCCCUGCUCUGCUGGUCCUCUGUGGGGACCAUGGAGGGGUCGUGGGGCCGUGGAGGCCACCACCCCUCUGCUGUCAGAAUUCUGGAGGGAGAGUAUGGCUUCUGUCCUCUUAGACUGAGCCAAGGGAAGAGGCCAGGGGGCCGUGUUCCAGCUGAAGCAAAGGCAAAUGUGGACCCAGCAAUCCUUGUCUUAGCGCUGCUGGGGGCCAUAUGGGCCAUAGGUUGGGAUGAGGGAUCAGGGCCCCAUCCCCUGCCCUCUGCAUCCAGUAGGGGCGCAGUGUCAGAAGGAGCACACCCGCAGAGGAGCAGAGCCAGGGAGGAGACCAGAACCCGUGCCAGAGGAGUAUGUGACUUGGAGUUCAGAAGACCCAGGGGGACCUGAGAACUGCCUUCGAGGAAGCAGAGGGAUUUGUUUUCUCGACUGCUUUGAGAGCCCCUCAGAAGGCAGGGAACCUGUCUUUGGCUGGAAGAAACCGGUGGCAACCUUGAGCAGAUCUGUUCUGACACACACAUUAUGUCCUUUAAUGCUCUCUAGCCCACGAGUGGCCUCUGGAUCCCAGCCUGGCCUCCCAGCUCUGACAGCACUGACUUUGAGGCUACAGAGGGAGCUCUUUGGAAUACAAAUACCUCUGGACCCUCCUGAUCCCAGCUGGUGCCCCAUUCUCAUGCUAAUACAGAGAGUUUGCCAGUAGCUCCUAGAAGAAUUCGCUGCUGUAGGAAAUCCACCCCAAGCCUUCCUCCUGGCCACCGGGACAGUGUCUCUGGGGUCCUUUCCAGCCUGGCCUCCUGGUACCCAGCACUGGGUUCCGGCCCCACACCCAGCAG
Molecule: long non-coding RNA, 875 nt
Organism: Herpailurus yagouaroundi (jaguarundi)
Lineage: Eukaryota; Metazoa; Chordata; Mammalia; Carnivora; Felidae
Exons: 3
Source: RefSeq, a predicted model, not a curated record